GACGAACGCUGGCGGCGUGCCUAAUACAUGCAAGUUGAGCGAUGAAGAUUGGUGCUUGCACCAAUUUGAAGAGCAGCGAACGGGUGAGUAACGCGUGGGGAAUCUGCCUUUGAGCGGGGGACAACAUUUGGAAACGAAUGCUAAUACCGCAUAACAACUUUAAACAUAAGUUUUAAGUUUGAAAGAUGCAAUUGCAUCACUCAAAGAUGAUCCCGCGUUGUAUUAGCUAGUUGGUGAGGUAAAGGCUCACCAAGGCGAUGAUACAUAGCCGACCUGAGAGGGUGAUCGGCCACAUUGGUACUGAGACACGGCCCAAACUCCUACGGGAGGCAGCAGUAGGGAAUCUUCGGCAAUGGACGAAAGUCUGACCGAGCAACGCCGCGUGAGUGAAGAAGGUUUUCGGAUCGUAAAACUCUGUUGGUAGAGAAGAACGUUGGUGAGAGUGGAAAGCUCAUCAAGUGACGGUAACUACCCAGAAAGGGACGGCUAACUACGUG
RNAcentral lists this ribosomal RNA (497 nucleotides) under uncultured bacterium. RNAcentral describes it as "partial 16S ribosomal RNA". It matches the Rfam family "Bacterial small subunit ribosomal RNA", at positions 28 to 507 of the family's 1533-position model. The record is from RNAcentral.